RNAcentral lists this transfer RNA (60 nucleotides) under Stygobromus allegheniensis. RNAcentral describes it as "tRNA-Phe". The record is from RNAcentral. Lineage: Eukaryota; Metazoa; Arthropoda; Malacostraca; Amphipoda; Crangonyctidae.
GCUUAGAUAGCUCAAGUAGAGCAUUAUUUUGAAGCAAUAAAGAUGUCUGUACUAUAAGCA